Long non-coding RNA from Oryzias melastigma (Indian medaka), 1790 nucleotides. RefSeq lists it as uncharacterized. NCBI's taxonomy places the organism in Eukaryota, Metazoa, Chordata, Actinopteri, Beloniformes, Adrianichthyidae. The record is from RefSeq and is a predicted model, not a curated record. The transcript has 2 exons.
AGGAGCGCUGAGGCUCCGCCUCCUCCCAUCCCGGAGAGGAACAGACUUCCUGUGCUGCUGGGACUUCUGGGGUUUCGGACUCCCGCGUGGAGCGCCGGCCUCGCCGCCGGGCCGGAUCAGCUCCCCCAGAGUAACCAGGAUUUUGUUUCACCGUCUCGUCCCGAUCCCGAGUCCACGGUGCAGCCGCCGGGUCCCGGGGGCGUUCCCCCGUGACUCCUCCCCUGAAGGGAGACUAGGACUUGUGGAACCCCCCCCCUUCGGAAACGUGUUCCUGGGUGUGACUCCGUGUUUGUACAGGACGGCGACAUGAUUUCUAAAUGUGUUUUUUAAGUGACGUUCUCACAGAGCAUGCACGGUUCCACAGAGGAGCAUCCCGUCACCAUGGAAACCAUCCCAACACACACUUUCUGCAGAGUCCUUAACUACGGCCGGGAGAAACGGAAGUUUGUGUUUGAACCUCGUCUUUUCAGGUUUUCUCUUCCGGCAAAACGGUACGAAGGAAAAACAAAAGUAAUCAAAUCCCCAUCCUGACCUGCUGCUGGUUCUGAUCAUUCCACUGAGGAGGUUCUGCAGGUUUGUCUCCUUUAGUGGUUCUGAUGUCCGACUCGGGUCCGUUUGAGCGGAGGAACUGCGUUUGGAACGUUGGAUUGAGGUUCUGUUUCCACCAGUCCUCUCAGAAACCGGGCUUCACUACAGAGUUUUAGAAGAACCAAUCACGGACAGACCCGUGGCUCCUCUGUGAUCCUGAGGAGCCAGACAUGGUGGUGGUACUGUGAUGGUCUGGGUCGGUUCUGCUGCUUCAGGACCUUCAAGAGUUCUUCUUCCCCAAAACUCCUGAAGCAUAAAGUCUGUUCCUGAGCUCAGGUGUAAUCCUGCUGCUGGUUCUGCAGCAGAACCGAGGUCCAAACGUUCCAAACGGAGGAACCAGAGGAAGACGAGUUUGUAACGGAGACGAUCAGAAACGUUUGAACGCGACAAACUGUGUUUCUCUCAUGUUUACAAUCGUUUGAUUCUAAAAACGGCAGAAGUGCAGACUCAUGUUUUAUUGUGAAAAUCUCUGCUUUAAUGUGAAAGCAAAGUGAGGCCCUCCUUCCACCACUGACUCCUCCCCUUCUGUCGCGUUGCCAUAGCAUCCAGGCUCAGUGCAGGUGUCAGAUUUCAAAGUUCCAAUAGGAGUCUGUCGAGACUCCGCCCUCAAACGCGGCGCCACUUUGAGUCUAAGUUUAAUGUUAAACUUUGUGAUUAUCAGACGGAACCAGGAAGAAGUUCAACCAUUAUCACGGAAAUGCCCCGCCCCCACCCAGUACUUUCAAAAUAACAGCGCUAUCUCGUUGCAAUAUGGCUUCAACCUGAUGGAGAUGAGGAGCAAAGUCAGAUGUUUGGUUUGUGGGAUGGAAGCUGGAGCUCUGAUGAGGCGUUCAAGAACAGCUGACGUUUAUAGGAAAAGAGGAAACGAUUGAGCAAAGGAGAGAAGAAAACCUCCAUCGGGUUUCAAAAGCCCGGAAGUUCCUCCGCUGUUCUCUGAUUUUGCUCGAACAGAACCUCCGUUUUCAGUCGGGUCUGUUUUUUAUUCCUGAAAAAUCAGAACUCCAGCAGAACCCGCUUCAGAGCCGUGGAUUUUAGCGGGCCGUCGGGCCGCCGUGGUUUUCUUAUGCAAACAUGGUGACAGUUUGGAGGCGUGGCUCUGAGCCGCGUGGACGAUGUAGACGUGAGCGAUCCAAAUGUUUACUGUACAGAUCAGUUCAUCCGUGUGCUGGAAGCUGCACAAUAAACUCCUCCUGUGGAACCGC